AGAGUUAAAUAGUACGUGAAAUUGUUGAAAGGGAAACGGUUGAAGUCAGUCAUGCCGGCGGGAAUCAACUUAGGGAAACCCUGGGUGCACUUCUUCGCUUGGCAGGUUAGCGUCGAUUUUGGAUAUCAUAAAAUGAUUGGGGGAAGGUAGCUCCUACGGGAGUGUUAAGCCCUUGGUAGAUGUGAUGUCUGGGAUCGAGGAUUGCAACGGAUACCCUCUGGGCUAGCCGCCUAGUCUCUAAUACGAUGUUGAGUUAUGGACAGCAUGCUGACCAUUAUUUGACUUUCGGUUAAAAGAUUAGAGCGAGCGUAAAUUCGUUAAGGACGCUGACGUAAUGGCUUUAAACGA
Molecule: unclassified non-coding RNA, 348 nt
Filed under: uncultured Glomeromycotina
Lineage: Eukaryota; Fungi; Glomeromycota
Description: sequence contains 28S rRNA gene
Source: RNAcentral